CCGUGCCAAGCUGUGUGCAUC
RNAcentral lists this microRNA (21 nucleotides) under Apopellia endiviifolia. RNAcentral describes it as "microRNA 536". RNAcentral also lists the same sequence under 1 other name. The record is from RNAcentral. Lineage: Eukaryota; Viridiplantae; Streptophyta; Jungermanniopsida; Pelliales; Pelliaceae.